UUCGGAUGGAAGUGGAAUUGACUGAGUGGCGGACGGGUGAGUAACGCGUGGGUAACCUGCCUUGUACUGGGGGACAACAGUUAGAAAUGACUGCUAAUACCGCAUAAGCGCACAGUAUCGCAUGAUACAGUGUGAAAAACUCCGGUGGUACAAGAUGGACCCGUGUCUGAUUAGCUAGUUGGUAAGGUAACGGCUUACCAAGGCGACGAUCAGUAGCCGACCUGAGAGGGUGACCGGCCACAUUGGGACUGAGACACGGCCCAAACUCCUACGGGAGGCAGCAGUGGGGAAUAUUGCACAAUGGGCGAAAGCCUGAUGCAGCGACGCCGCGUGAGUGAAGAAGUAUUUCGGUAUGUAAAGCUCUAUCAGCAGGGAAGAAAAUGACGGUACCUGACUAAGAAGCCCCGGCUAACUACGUGCCAGCAGCCGCGGUAAUACGUAGGGGGCAAGCGUUAUCCGGAUUUACUGGGUGUAAAGGGAGCGUAGACGGUAAAGCAAGUCUGAAGUGAAAGCCCGCGGCUCAACUGCGGGACUGCUUUGGAAACUGUUUAACUGGAGUGUCGGAGAGGUAAGUGGAAUUCCUAGUGUAGCGGUGAAAUGCGUAGAUAUUAGGAGGAACACCAGUGGCGAAG
This 632-nucleotide ribosomal RNA is filed under the name uncultured Lachnospiraceae bacterium. Its description in RNAcentral is "bacterial SSU rRNA". It matches the Rfam family "Bacterial small subunit ribosomal RNA", at positions 76 to 720 of the family's 1533-position model. The record is from RNAcentral. Lineage: Bacteria; Bacillati; Bacillota; Clostridia; Lachnospirales; Lachnospiraceae.